Gorilla gorilla gorilla (western lowland gorilla) is the source of this 476-nucleotide long non-coding RNA. RefSeq lists it as uncharacterized. NCBI's taxonomy places the organism in Eukaryota, Metazoa, Chordata, Mammalia, Primates, Hominidae. The transcript is spliced from 2 exons. The record is from RefSeq and is a predicted model, not a curated record.
GACACAAAUCAAAUGACAUUUCACUUUGUUUUGGUCCAUUUUGUUUCUUAGAGACAAGAGUGCAGCGGGGCCAUCUCGGCUCACUGCAACGUCCAGCUCCUGGGCCCAAGCGAUCCUCUCACCUCAGCCUCUCCAGUAACUGGGAUAACAGGUUACCAUGCCAGCAAUGAUUCCUUUUGAGUUUCUGACAGAAGAUAGUGGUUUUCAUCCAAAUAAGUCAACUACUCUACCCCAUCCCUAAGCCACUGGUAUGGAAAGAAAAAGAGGAAGAAGCCAGUACUGUGACUGUGUAAGCUUCCCCCAGCAUCACCCGCUAUGAGAUGUGUGGCAGCUGAGACCCGGGAACUGCUCAAGGGCACCAGGCCCCAUCUGUCUGCACUCACUCACCUUCCUCAGGUACUCGCAUGGGCAUGUCACUGACUUUACGUGCUGCUGCAGCUCCUUGGUGAGCUGGCCCUGGUCAUGGGACAGGAACU